Molecule: transfer RNA, 73 nt
Filed under: Planctomycetales bacterium
Lineage: Bacteria; Pseudomonadati; Planctomycetota; Planctomycetia; Planctomycetales
Also listed under: 1 other name
Description: tRNA-Lys
Rfam family: tRNA
About the family: Transfer RNA (tRNA) molecules are approximately 80 nucleotides in length.
Source: RNAcentral
GAGGAUGUAGCUCAGUCGGUAGAGCAACGGACUUUUAAUCCGUAGGUCCUGGGUUCGAGUCCCAGCAUCCUCA